This is a long non-coding RNA of Gadus morhua (Atlantic cod), 1480 nucleotides long. RefSeq lists it as uncharacterized. The transcript has 5 exons. Lineage: Eukaryota; Metazoa; Chordata; Actinopteri; Gadiformes; Gadidae. The record is from RefSeq and is a predicted model, not a curated record.
UUCAAGAAAAGUCUGUAGCUGCAUGGCAAUGAUGAUAUGGCAGCCAAAGUAUAGAGUAUCUGGCCCAUAUAUUUAGAAUACACAAAGCAGGAUAAAACAAUAAACCUUAUUUGGCCUUGGCUGAAUAACAAGACACAGAAGAAAUAUCUGCCGAAAAUCUGCCAUCAGAUGGUUGAAGGUCAUUCAAACUGGACCACCAUGUUCUUCCAAAUCCUGUUCCUAAUAUGUUCAGUUUGUAAUACUUAUGGCGUUGCUAGUGCUGCAUCACCAUCGUGUGCCAGCGAUGAAUACAGAGUGGGACAGCUCUGCUGCCUUGCAUGUCCUCGUGGAUAUAGGGUUCAUAGGGAUUGCUCAGCGACAACCAAUACAAAGUGCACAAAGUGCCCCGAUGGUACUUUCAAAGAAGGCCUUAGCGGACAGAAGCAGUGCUCUAACUGUACAGAGUGUGUCAGAGGUCAGAAGGAGAAGAAGUUCUGUACUCCAACAUCAGAUGCUGAGUGUGUGAUCCCGGAUGGAUUCUUCUGUAGUGAGUCAGCAGAUAAAGACACAUUCUCAGAGACCACAUUGUCAUGCCAACCCCACACGAUAUGUGAUUCUGUGGGAGGGGUGCAGAUACAACCAGGAACUGAUUCCACUGAUUCUACAUGUCUUAAAUAUGUGGCAAUUGUGUUCAUAAUAAUAGGAUGCAUGGCUUUAUUAAUCAUAGUCCUGGGAGGUAAGCGUUACAUUCAACUCUUUUAUGUAUCAUGUUACAUUAAACUCUUAACAUCUAUCAUGGUUGCAUUAACCGUACAUUUAUCAUAUUACAUUAAACUCUGACAAGUAUCAUGGUUACAUUAAACUGCAACAUGUAUCAUGGUUACAUUCAACUAACAUAUGUAUCAUAGUUAUAUUCUACUAGCAUGUAUCAUGCUUACAUUAAACUAACAUGUAUCAUGUUACAUUAAACUAACAUGUAUCAGGGUUAUGCUGAAUGAUGGUGACCUCUGUCCUGACAUGUGUUGUUUAUCACUUCAUAGCAUUGUUUUAUACAUGGCUGAAAAUGGAAAGGGAUUUAACUGAAUGGGAAAAACAAAUAGAUGAGAUGGUAAGUGUUAUUACUGGUUUGAUACAGAACACAAUAAUAUGUGUGAACCUAGCUGGCAGUGGUGGAGUUAUUAGAUGAUGACCAGAGGCGGAUUAACACCCAGGCUAGCCUCGGCUGAGCCUAGGGGCCCAGGUGUGCAAGGGGCCCUGGAUGGGCCAGACUAUUUUCAAUUUGACUUAAAAUAAAAAAAGACUUGACUCCUAAUGGCCCAUAACAAGAACCAUUAAAAAGUGAAGCAGCUGAUUGGGUAGAUGUGUGGGCCAUGUCAUGUGACCAGGUUCAUAAAGUCAGUUUGGUUGUAAAGGAAUACGUCACGUCUGCUGGACGGCAAAGAGGCAGGAUGUCUGAAAAGGCGAAAAGCACAAGUGUUUCCAUUUGUCGAUAUAGCACUCU